RNAcentral lists this long non-coding RNA (813 nucleotides) under Brassica napus (rape). RNAcentral's name for it is "long non-coding RNA (BNAP_LNC001814)". The record is from RNAcentral. Lineage: Eukaryota; Viridiplantae; Streptophyta; Magnoliopsida; Brassicales; Brassicaceae.
AGCAAGACAUUUACAGACUCAUAUUGACUCUGUAAACCAAUUGGGUAACUCUGCAUCCAUGUGAACGACGAAAGACGGUUGCUUUCUAGCACUACGUGCUAAGCUGUCCGUCCGUUGAUUCUCCGUCCGAGGUACAUGAACAAUAUCUGAGUUGAGGAAACUUCUCCGAAGAAGCUUGAUAUCUUCCAGAUAACUUUCAAAAGCUGGCUAUUCUGCUGGUUCCGAAACCAUCUUCACCAAUUGAGAACAAUCCGUUACAAACGUAACCUGAAACUGUCGUAAGUUCUUCAUACAUUUCAUUGCCCAAAUCAAAGCUUCCAAUUUGGUUAUAGUUUUCCGGAUAAUUUCGAUAUCUAUACUAUUAUUUAUGAAGUGAUUUAGCUUAUUUGUCAUGAUUUCCAUGAUUUUAGGUAAUUUUGCUUAUUUGUCGAGUUUUGAUUAGGUUUAAAUUGAGUCAUUACUUUAUUAAUAAUUUAAGUUGAGUCCAUAAUUUAUUAAUUUAGAUAAUAUAACUAUAAAAUAUGUAGAUAUAUAAUUAUAUUGAUUUUGCUUAUUUGUCAUGUUUUCCAUGAUUUUAGUCAGUUUUGUUUAUUUGUCAUGUUUUUAUUAUGUGUUACAUUUACAGACUCAUAUUGACUCUGUAAACCAAUUGGGUAACUCUGCAUCCAUGUGAACGACGAAAGACGGUUGCUUUCUAGCACUACGUGCUAAGCUGUCCGUCCGUUGAUUCUCCGUCCGAGGUACAUGAACAAUAUCUGAGUUGAGGAAACUUCUCCGAAGAAGCUUGAUAUCUUCCAGAUAACUUUCAAAAGC